CAGAGGGUGCAAGCGUUGUUCGGAAUUACUGGGCGUAAAGCGCGCGCAGGCGGAUCCUGCAAGUCAGAAGUGAAAUCUCAUUGCUCAACGAUGAGGCUGCUUUUGAUACUGCGGAUCUGGAGACCGGUAGAGGCUGGUAGAAUUGCAGGUGUAGCGGUGGAAUGCGUAGAGAUCUGCAAGAAUACCCGUGGCGAAGGCGGCCAGCUGGGCCGGUUCUGACGCUGAGGCGCGAAAGCGUGGGGAGCAAACAGGAUUAGAUACCCUGGUAGUCCACGCCGUAAACGAUGGGCACUAGGUGCUGGGGGGAGCGACCCCGUCAGUGCCGCAGCUAACGCGAUAAGUGCCCCGCCUGGGGAGUACGGCCGCAAGGCUG
RNAcentral lists this ribosomal RNA (373 nucleotides) under uncultured organism. Its description in RNAcentral is "bacterial SSU rRNA". It matches the Rfam family "Bacterial small subunit ribosomal RNA", at positions 526 to 896 of the family's 1533-position model. The record is from RNAcentral.